GACGAACGCUGGCGGCGUGCUUAACACAUGCAAGUCGAACGGAAAGGCCCUGCUUUUGUGGGGUGCUCGAGUGGCGAACGGGUGAGUAACACGUGAGUAACCUGCCCUUUACUUUGGGAUAACUUCAGGAAACUGGGGCUAAUACCGGAUAGGAGCUCCUGCUUCAUGGUGGGGGUUGGAAAGUUUCGGCGGUUGGGGAUGGACUCGCGGUUUAUCAGGUUGUUGGGGGGGUAGUGGCUUACCAAGGCUUUGACGGGUAGCCGGCCUGAGAGGGUGACCGGCCAAAUUGGGAAUGAGAUACGGCCCAGACUCCUAAGGGAGGCAGCAGUGGGGAAUAUUGCACAAUGGGAGGAAGCCUGAUGCAGCAACGCCGCGUGCGGGAUGACGGCCUUCGGGUUGUAAACCGCUUUCGCCUGUGACGAAGAGUGAGUGACGGUAAUGGGUAAAGAAGCACCGGCUAACUACGUG
RNAcentral lists this ribosomal RNA (468 nucleotides) under uncultured bacterium. RNAcentral describes it as "partial 16S ribosomal RNA". It matches the Rfam family "Bacterial small subunit ribosomal RNA", at positions 28 to 507 of the family's 1533-position model. The record is from RNAcentral.